RNAcentral lists this transfer RNA (68 nucleotides) under Marmota monax (woodchuck). Its description in RNAcentral is "tRNA.Undet". It matches the Rfam family "tRNA". Rfam says of the family: Transfer RNA (tRNA) molecules are approximately 80 nucleotides in length. Lineage: Eukaryota; Metazoa; Chordata; Mammalia; Rodentia; Sciuridae. The record is from RNAcentral.
GGUGGGGCUCAGUGGGAGAGCACUCGCCUACAUGCAUGAGGCCCUGGGUUCCAACCCCAGCACCACCA